Long non-coding RNA from Megalopta genalis, 2074 nucleotides. RefSeq lists it as uncharacterized. Lineage: Eukaryota; Metazoa; Arthropoda; Insecta; Hymenoptera; Halictidae. The record is from RefSeq and is a predicted model, not a curated record.
UUGGUGUCUACUGCCGCUGCGCGUUACACCUGCCUGUCCCGUGUGCUCCGCUCUCGCUGACUUUGAAUCGGCGGCGCGCGUUCCGUUUUGUCACCUCGACACCGCCGCAAGUGUUACCGAGUUCCUUUGAAUCCCAACGGCGAGACGGACCAUGUCCACGUCCGUCACCGUAUCGAUCAGCCUGCGCAUUUAUCCGGUCGCCAUUUUGCCGACCUUGAGCACCGUUUCCUCGAACUCCGCGCUAUAGAUAUCUCGGAUCUCUCGCCCUUCCACGUAGCCCACAAUGACAAGUGACAUAAUGAUCGGUGUGCACCUGUGUCUGUCCGUGUGUUCUACCGAUGUGCCGUCUACCAAGUGUCUCCGCAGUUCUGCUGGUUCGCCCAAAUAUGUGACCAUUCGCAGAAGAAACGCGUACACGUCGAUCAGCCGCCAUUUUGGUGACCGUGUACCACGCUGUUCGCUGUUCGGAGUGAAGCAAUCCUCGCUGAAAUUGUGAAUUAUUGCCUUUUCGUCGUACCGCAGUCGUACGAACCUCGUGAAACUGCUUUCUGAACGGCAUUCUGGUAACUAUGACAUUACUAAACGGUUGAUAGAAGCGCCAGGAGACGUGUGUCGUCGUCCACGAUCUUUAAAAUCCGGUGGUGUUGCUCCAUUUAUCUAUUGCCUGCCUUCUAAUUACUACGCCACUACCUUCCUCCACGGCCCGUUUUAUGCCGCAGACAAAUUCUUCUGCACCUCCGACAUGCCUCGGGCACGGACAUCACUGUCACGGGAGAUUUAUACCCGUUGGAAAGAACGGUGCCCGCGCGGGCGUAGCUUGCUGUUCACUUCGGUGCUUAAAAACCUUGUUCCUUUAUUUCUGAGACAAAACGUCUCUCGGCCUAGUGAACCGAAAGCUGUUUGCUUUGACGGUGCAUGGAACGCGACUGCCUCGAGAACGACUCGACGCGUCGCGUCGGAGCGUUCGCAAAACCGCGCGGGUUUCGCUAGAAACUGAAGGCGAGCGGUUUGGGAUUCCGCGGUUUCUCGCUCGGCGAACGGAAUUGCCGGAGCCGUCGGAUCCUUAUUGAUGCCGGGGAUAUCUAUCGCUCCCGGGCUUGCUGGACCAACGAUGAAAAAGGGGGAGAAGGAGGCAAUAAAACCGCAAGGGCGAAAAGGACGGAGGUAAAUAACGGUGGAGGAGGCGUGGUUGGCGCGAUGCGGCGCCCUCAAAGCACGAUCGCCCCUCGAGGGUACACCUUUUAAGAGUUCGAGGUACGAGGACCGUCGAAACUGGGAGCCCCGGAGAUAAGAUCCUCCUAGUUAUCGAACGGACUCCCGUUCACGAUCGAUGUACCAGAACCCGUCCACGGGUUUCGAUGUUCCCGCAGGCGAGCCGUUCCUUCCACCUUUUGAUUUCAUUGUGCCGUUGAAACGUGGCCUUGGCCGGCCACAAGGACGCUUCUUUUAUAAAAUUGCCGGCCGAGCGUCGGCCGGCUUUUCUUCGAACUCCGCCAUUGCGAAAUGUUUCAGCCUGCCCGACGCGACGGUAGACAUUCUUCCAGAUCCUAUCGGUCCGCAUCUCGCGUAUCUCGAUUUUUAGCGUGGGCGAGGAACGUAGAUUUCCGACGUCGAUACCCAAAGCUGAAGGGGAAAGGGCUAGCUCCGCCGGAUCGUUGAUGCGUUUCCUCGAAAUCGGACGGAACGCUAGAUAAUUCUGGAGGAAACGGAGUAUCUACGGACAUAAGUCGCCUCCAGACAUCUAAAUGGCUACCUUCGUGCUAGACCGAGAGAGAGAGAGAGAGAGAGAGAGAGAGAGAGAGAGAGAGAGAGAGCCGCUAACGACAAUACGAUGACCCCGAAGCUGCGGAAACAAAGACCGGGUCGCAAGCAUAGAGGAAUACACAACGUUUCAGCCGGGGCUCGUCGCCAUCAACCGUUCCUCGGCCCUCGACUACGCGACGGACGGAGGCCUUGACCUGAUCCAGCGAAGGUGAAUCAAGAGGACAGCCAACGAAUUCCAAGUUUGAGUCACUUAUUUAGAUGUUAUUCGUCUGCACCGUGACAAUAAAGUUGUUGAUCUUCUUCACGCCAA